Long non-coding RNA from Dalotia coriaria, 395 nucleotides. RefSeq lists it as uncharacterized. The transcript has 2 exons. NCBI's taxonomy places the organism in Eukaryota, Metazoa, Arthropoda, Insecta, Coleoptera, Staphylinidae. The record is from RefSeq and is a predicted model, not a curated record.
AUUUAUAUUAAUAAGCACAGUAAUAAUUACCAGAAUUUCACAUCCAAAGUAAUAAAUUAAAAAAUCGGAAGAUUCGGUGAAGUGAAAAGAUAAAGUGGGUCUUGUCAUUUUGUGCAUUGCCAAUAAUGUAACCAAGAAAUUGCCGAUUUAUUCAAUGAAAUGGAACUAUUUAGGGUGGCAGCCACGCUGACCUAGUUUUGCGGCGGCCAUCGCAAAUUCCUCUAGCCAGACGAAAUUCUAGGAACUCUUACUACGUUUUUACUACGGAAUCCCGGAAUGUCUGGAAAAUUACUAAAACUGGAAAUAUUGAUAUUUACCGCGUUUUUGUGUGUUUUUUGAUGGCUGAAAAACUGGUAUCAAUAGAAAAUUAAAGAAUACGCUAAUAUCUAUGGAAA